AUGCUUAUGAAUUCCAGCCAAAUCAUCCUACUAUUUCCUAGUCCUAAAAUUUCAUCUCUUCUUGCUUUUCUACUUGUGAUAUCUGUCUAUCAACCCACAUGCAUUUAUUACGUUCCUUCUAUCUGCCUUUCUUCUAUAGGCCUUGAGGAUACCAAGACAAAAAUGAGAGUAUCUGCUGCUUUUGGAAGUCUCAGAAGCUUACAUACACAUGUAAGGGUGAAAAAAAGACUUUGUUCGAAGAAAUGGCUCUCUCUGGGAAAUAAAGAGGAGACGGACAUAUUCAGAAAGGGACAUUUGGAAGAAAAAGGAGGUUCAAAGAAGAGAGAGGACCUUUGCCUGAGAAAAGGGAAAAUGCUAAAAGGCAACAAUGAUUAAGUAAAACUCUCUAAUUUUUGUUUUGAUUCUGUUUUCUCUGAAAAAAUGAAAUAGAGGAUUUCCAAACAUUCUUGUUGAAAAGAUCAAAGUUGGGUAGAUGCUUUGAAUACAAACACAAGAGAAUCAUAAAAAGUUAAACAUGAGCCAUCAAUCGUAAGAGACUAUAUAAAGAUAAACUGCCCACAUUUUAAUAGAGAGAGAUACUAUGCAUACCCUUACAAAUCUCUCAGAAUCUAUUUUCUUUAAGGGUCAUAGAGGAAAUCUAAUAACAUAGAGGAUAUGUGAGUGAUUUUGUUAUGUUUUCAUGUUCUUAAAAAAAAAGAAAAGAAAGGGAGGAAAAGGGGAAAAAGGAAAAAGAGGACUAGGAGGGGAAAGAUAGAAAAACAGUAGCAGAAAUUAUCUCAUAAUUCAGUUGCACAAGGAAAAGUCUGUACAAAUAAAGAAGAAGAAAUGUGGAGAAGCA
This 838-nucleotide long non-coding RNA is filed under the name Monodelphis domestica (gray short-tailed opossum). Its description in RNAcentral is "lncRNA (ENSMODG00000046945.1)". The record is from RNAcentral. Lineage: Eukaryota; Metazoa; Chordata; Mammalia; Didelphimorphia; Didelphidae.